GAGCCCAACCAGCAGUAAUGACUCCGUCCAUGUUCUGUUCUUCCCCACCCCCACAUCAGGGUCCCUGACUCAGCCUACUUUGCAUUAAUCCCAGGAGGAGACCAGUCGGUCUCAGUUCUGACAGUCUGAGUCAAUUCUAUUGUCUUAUGUGACCUGUGCAGGGAAGUUUAAAGUGGUUUGCUGAUCUUUGGUGCCAUUGCUAAUAGUAACAGGGAGCAGUAGAUGGCCCAGAAAACAACCUUCAUUUUCAAUGAAGAGACAUUCCAUGGUCUACCCUCGCAACGUAGAGAUACAUCACAUGGAAGAGCACAGGCCACUCUAGUUCAGAAUUUGUUGCUGUACUUGAUUUGGAUCACCAUUGCAUUGGCUUGGUUAAGCCACAUAGAUAAUAGCCCUGAGUAUGGAUUCUUGCCGUACCUGGCAAAACCUCAGGCUGCUCAGGAGUUAGGAAAAACACAUGAAUUUGUGUCAAUAAGAUUGAAAUAAGGUUGUGCCAGUCUGUGAGUUCACACAAGUAUAGGGAGGGCCAUGUUUGAUAUCUGCUGUUGAUGGCAUCGGCACAGCAGAAUAAUUCAGGACCAGCCGUGUCUAUAUGACUUUUUCUGUUAUUAUAGCCAUCCAUGCAGAUGACAGACCCAGGGUGGUCAGCAGGUCAGAUUGGCAGCCACAGCUGCUGCUAGACUCAGGUGGAUCAUAUAAUUGUUUUGGCUGGCUGAGGUGCUGGAUAUAGGGGAUCAAGAGAGCAGUAAUGACAUCUUAAUACCUCCUUAUGUUGACGGUGUUCCCUUUUCAGCUACUAGGUUGUUGGUCUCACCAUCCUUGCUUCUAAGGGGCAUUCUGGCUGUACUUCUUCCAAGACAGAUUUCUUUGUUCUUUUGGUAGCCCAUGGACUGCCGUCAAUAUACCAUGGCAGUGCAUGAGAGUUUUGUUGCAGGAUAAUAGCUGCUUUUCUUAAAAAAAAAAAAAGACCAUACUUUGUGGCCCUGUCAAGAAGGUGAUGCUGUUAUCUCUGAAAAUGGCCUCUCCAUGUGCAGCAGUUCCUGAGUAGGAAAACCCUCUGAUACUCAUGGAACUGGGAGGUGCAAACAUGUAACGUAGCACUUCUUAUUGCACAAUCAGAAGUGGAAGCUACAGCAACAGCACGUUGCGUAAGUCCGAAGGGCUCCUGGCACAAGGUCACUUUAGCUUCCCUUCCCCACUGAGAGACACCAGACCCCAUCAGUAAAUUUGGUGUCCUUUUCUUCUGUGGAAUCAGGUAGGGUGGUAACAUGGGCACCGGUAUCCAUCAGAGGCAUAAAAGUUUGAGUCCCUCCCUCACCCAUCAUACCAGGACCAGUGUGUAUGGCCCUCAGUCCCCUUGGAGGAAGAGAGACCUUGGGCCCACCCCUAAUCAUCUUUCUACUGGAGACAGCUGAGGUCAGGGUAGAGGGAAGAGGGGAUAUCAGGGAGUGUUGAGGGAGGGAGCAGCUCCAUGUCAGUAAGCAAGGCACAUUUACUUUUGGCUCCAGGUGCCUGCCCACUUGUGGCUCAAUCAAAUGAACUUUGGUUUAUGGCCCACCCAAUGACCUAUGCCAGGUCGCAAAGUCAUUUUUGGCACCAUUAUUGAAGCUCUGGGGACUCCUUGUGCCUGGACCCACACCCACAUUAUCUUUCUGCUAGCCGCAGGCCUUACCGCUCCACUGACCUGAUAACCUCCCUUCCUCCUCCCACAUAGAUGAGAGUGAGUGAGAAAUAACCAAGAUACUAUUUGUGCAGCUUGUUUCAAUCCUGCCUCUUCUCUCAGCCUCACUAGCAGGCAUGCCAGUGGGGACCCUUAUUUCCCUCCUCCCAUGCCCACCGCUUGGGCCAGAGCAUUCCCUACCGGUCCUAGGGAGUCCUUUCAUAUUCUUGGACGCAGUCUGUUUUCCUUCCUCUUCCAGAAAACUAUGUUUCUGUCAGUAUUCCUGCCUUUUCGCCAAAGCUUUUGGGCCUGGGAUUUGAUUUUUUCCUACUUAUAAGCUAAUGCUUCAGCCUGUUACUGUUUGAUGGAUGCUGGCAGAAGACAUGAGACUCCUGGGUCAGAGACAAAUGAUUUUAUUACCUCAUGGUGCCACAAGCAACAUGAGCAUCAGCAGUUGGUAUCAGCUGCCCUUGCCCCAAUUCCAUGGUCCAGAUAGAUGCUCUGUGCAUGGUGUGAGUUUACAUUGCAGGUGAAAACUCGGGGUUUGGGGAAUAAACUGCUUUUAAAAUAAGCAGGAAGCAAGCCUGCUCUUUAUUUGGGCGGGGAGUUUGCCUCACCUCUCAAGGUUGAUGUCUUAAUUAUCUAGUGCUGUGGUGGAAAUACCACAAGUAGAUGACUUUAACAAAGAGAAAUUUAUACUCUUACGGUCCAGUAGGCUAGAAGUCCAAAUUCAGGGUGCUGGCUCCAGGGGAAGGUUUUCUCUCUGUUAACUGUGGGGAAAGGUCCUUAUCAUCAGUCUUCCCUUGGUCUGGGAGCAUCUCAGCACAGAACCUCAGGUCCAAAGGAUGCACUCUGCUCCUGGCGCUGCAUUCUUGGUGGUAUGAGGUCCCCUGUCUCUCUGCUUGCUUCUCUCUUUUAUAUCCCAAAGAGAUUGCCACAGGAGACCAUCCAAUCUUGUAUAUCUCAACAACAUAACUGCCACUAAUCCAUCUCAUUUGAUCAUAGUGAUAGGAUUUAUAACACAUAGGGAAAUCACAUAAAAUGGUGGACAAUCACGUAAUACUGGGACUCAUGGCCCAGCCAAGUUGACAGAUACUUUUGGGGGACACGAUUCAAUCCAUGAUAGUUGGCAUCUGUAAGAAUAACCUGAGAAAUUGUCCAGGUAAAAAAGUGGUCAGGCCCUUGCAGUCUUGGCAUGCCUAGCAAGAUAUGUAGGAGCUCAAGAGGCCUGAGGAAGACUGCUGUCCCAACAGAACACGCCUUGUCUAGCUCUGUAUCAGAGCGACAGGCUGUGUUAUUUCUAAAGCUGCCCAGAAUGGGGGUUAGGCCAGUGGUUCAAACUGAAUAGCAAAGGCUAUUAGACUUUUUGGCCUUUGGGUUAGUGAAAUAAUAGAUCUUUCAAAGUGGGAGAAAAUUCUGUGUAGAAAAGAAAGAUGACAAUCAAUUUCAUGUUUCAUUUCUAUUUAGAAUCUGUGUCAUAAAAGUCCUUUUGGGUUCUGUUAUUAAGGGAUUCAGCUCUCCUCCCCAUUUACAAUUUAUUGAAAACGUAAAAUUGCCUUCCUCUGUUAUUUGCUUUUUUGUAGUACUUAGGAAAAUUUUAUAUUAACUUUAUAAUGAUAAUUAAAAUAGAGAUAUGGUUUCUACUUCUAUUAUCUUUCCUUGCAGACUCCUCUCAGUUUAUUUGCUGGCCUUAAUUGGAGCAUAAAAUCUGUAAGCUUCUAGCAUAGAUUUGUGUGUGGUUUCUCAUACUUAUUUUCUAAUAUUCUUCCCAUCAACAUUUAUUCCAUUUUCUUGGGUACAGCUGGAUUGAGUCACUAAGAAUACAAAGAAAUAAAUAUAGUGAUGAUGAUUCUUAGAGUUUCUAAAUAGCUUUAAAAUAUAUUGACAUAGAAAUCUGUAUCCAACAGAGCUAUAAAAGUGUGAGUCCCUCCCUUCCCUGUCUUACCAGGACAGAUACGUAUGGCCCUCGAUUUUCUUUGGGGGAAGGAGGACCUUGGAAUCACCCCUAAUCAUCUUUCUGCUGAGGGCAGCUGAGAUCAGAGUCUUAAUCUGAGCCCAUAACUACAUUCUGAAAAUUAAACUAAUGAUUUCUUUGGACUUUUUUUAAUAUUCAGAAAGGAAAUAUACUGCAAAAAAUAAUACUGUUUCAUUAAUAUUGCAGUAAAGUAGAAUACUUGUUACAGCCUCGAAAUCAAUCCAGUGAUAACCAGGCAGCCAUUUUUAUUUUAGUCCUUGGUGUGGAACAACCCUUCUAAAAAUGUAUGUCUUUUCUCCUGCCAUGGUAGAUACAGUAGAUUGAACAUAAUUGUAUAUAUAUUUGUUCAUAAAAUAUCUUUCAUUAUCUUAGAAUCAUAAUUACCAUUGAGCAAUAUUGCAAGUGUAAAAAGAAAAGUAGUUUACCUUGGAUGCCUAGUAACCCCAUAGCUUAACUUUUAGUUUCUGCUCAGUAAGCCUAUAUAUGUUGUUCAGCAAGCAUUAUAUAAAAGCGAGGCAGGUAGAGAUCUCUUUUCCCACAGUGGAUGCAUAUAAGGAUUACCUUGAUUUUGUCCCUAAGGUCAUCGUUUGCCUUUUGUUGGGGAAACCUCUGGCUUCCUGUUAGGAAGCUUUCUGUGACCACCCACUGGCUUCAUGGGAGAAAGACUUGGCAAUCUGUUCUUAUAAAGAUUACAGCUGAGAAAACCCCACGGGGCAGUUCUGGUCUGUCCUAUAGGGCCCUAUGAGUUGGAAUCCACUUGACGCACCCAACGACAACAUCAGAAGUUUAAUUUAGAAUUUAAUGAACUUUCCUUUAUUCACUCCAUAGCUGUUUUUCUUGUAGAAGUCCAUUUAUAGGUGGAAAAUAUCUUUGAAAUUCUUGAUCCAAGGGUAAAGUUACCUAGAUUAUUUUACUCUUCCCAGGGAUAGCAAAAUAAGUUGUUUUUUUUUUUUUUUCUCCCAAACAUCUUAAUCCCUCCGAGUAUGAUCAAUAGAUUAAUAUAACAUUUAGUUCUUAAAGUGGUCUUAAGAUGCCUUUUGCCAUUGGUGUGUGUGUGUGUGUGUGUGUAAUUCCCUACAGGUUUUGCAGAUAAAAAAGGUGAAACAGAUGAAAACGAUGUCUGAUAUUUACUGAGUGUUUAUGUUAUGUGUUCUAAUUGCUGUACCUGCGUUAGGUCAUUUAGUCCUCGUAGCCCUCCUGUGAAGCUGUCAUCUUCCCCACAUUACCUAGGAGAACACUGAGGCUCGGAGAGGGCACGUGGUGUGUUCAUGAGGAACUGAUGGAGCAAGGUUAUGAGGCCAGGUUGUGUGGCCCAGAAGCCCUUGCACUUGGAUAGUACAGCUGUCCAGGCAUUUGCACCGUGCUGCUUUCGUCAGUUCUCUUACCACGGCUCUCCUGCCUUUCCUGAUAGAACCCUCGCCGCCUCCUCCAAAAUCCAUUUAGAAACUAAAAUAGCAGAUGAAGCUAAAAAGUUUCUUUGACUUACAACAAUUUCCUCCCGAAUUAUCUUGUUGAAAGUAAAUAGCCCAUCUGGCUUCCUCUCCUCACAGGGCAAAGCUCCUGAGUGAGCUUUGUGGCUGAGGCUGGCCCAGUGCCAUGUGGUGGGGCUGUUGGCCCUGGGCAGGACGAGCACAAUCUGUUUCCUCGGCUCCUAAUGAAGGAAAAGAGUCCCUUCAUUUGCCUCUUUAAUUCAUGACUUGAAUUUUGUGUCCUCCUUUCACACAGUGGAAGCUUUCCUGCUGCAGCCUUUAAAAAAAAAAAAAGUGCAGGUAGAAUUGAAGCUACAUAAUAAACACAUUUGGUACAAGGGCACUAUAAUGAAAUAACAUUAAAAUUUACAUUUUCAGACUGUGGCAUGAGUUUGUUAGCUGUGUGACCCCACUGAUUAGCAGGGGCUGGAGGGAUUUUUUUUUUUUUUGGAGGGAUGGCUGAGGGAGCCCUGUUGCUGCUGCCCCAUUCUAUACCUUGUUCUGCGAAUAAAUAGAAGUGUUUAGUGCUCUGCUCCAGAAUCCACGGGAGUCACACAGCUAAGCUCUACCCAACCUGAGAGUUUACCUCUAAGUGCCUUAAUUUAGCUCUCUGGGUUUACUUCUGAGACACAGCGGGAACUCUCUUUCUAGCCCUGAUAAUUACCUUCCUACAGGGCUUACUGAGGGUUACAGAAUAGUGACUUAACAAAUGGAACCUGAAUUUCCCUGGCCAGGAAAAUAAUUUGAUUCUCGCCAUGUUGCAGAGCAGAUAAGAAUCUUUUAAACCUUACAAGCUGCUAAAUGUGUUAUUUUAAUUUCCAAUUUUCUUUUGGAACCAGAUUUCAAGAGUUCAUCAGACAACGUUUGAUGAUGUCUUUCCAGGACUGAAAACUGUUCUCCAAGUAUUGUUUUAAGGGAUUAGUUCAAAAAGGCCAGUUCUUUGCCUCAUGGAGGCCUGAACUUGCUCUCUGCAUAUCAGUUCAGAGAUAGGCACUUCUGGGUCUUAAUCUCGGGAAUGUCUCUUCUUACUAAAGCACCAUGAGGCCCCGCCUGAUGUAGGGUCCUGUCAUGGAAAGAUUGGGAUUUCCGGUCAAGGGUAUGUGUACUAGCCUGCAGUCUUAAAUUUGCACCUGUGAAAUUGUGAACAUAAAUGCUGUUGUGAUGUAGCUGUUUCUGAACAAGCGUCUCCCUGAGGGAGCCGGAGUCAGCAUCUCCCUGAGGAAGCCCGAGUCAGCAUCUCCCUGAGGGAGGCCGAGUGGAUCUUCAAGGCGCCUCUAGAAGGGAUGAGGAGAGAAGGGGAUGAAAGGGUGAAGAGAGGAGGGGAUGAAAGGGUGAGGAGAGGAGGGGUGAUUUCAGAAAUCUCCACCUCCAGCUGCUCCCCACGCCCCGCCACACACACAUAGCUCUGUUAUUGUACGUUCGGCAUAUUGGGCUGGCAAAUUCAACUUCCUGUGAACGGCCUCCAUUGUACAUACUUAACAAGUUGGAGGAACCAAUUUCUAGUAAUUGUUACUGAAGUCUCUUUUUAACAUUUUUGACUUAUUGUGCUAAAGAUAGCAAAUUAAAAAAAAAAAAGAGCAAAGGAACAUUACUUACAAAGUAGUAUGCCAAGUAGAUUUUUAUCUUUGAAACUCUACGAUUCUCAAUAUCUUUUUACUUUUCAGUAUAAAUCUCUAUACAACUGGAAAAUACAAUUAAGUUUUUUGAGUUAGUUUAAAAUUGAUUAACAAGAGUUAGUUUCAUGCAGAUUUUUGUAACAUAAAUAAGGAAUGAAGCCCUGGUGGUUAAGAACUCGGCUGCUUGCCAAGAGGCUGGCAGUUUGAAUCCACUAGCACCUCCUUAAAAACCCUGUGGGGCAGUUCUUCUCUGUCCUGUAGGGUCACUAGGAGUCAGAAUCGACUCGAUGGCAACAGAUUUUUGUUGUUGUUGUUUAAAUAAAGUAUAAAAAUCCUUUUUUUUACCAUUCUAGUAUAACCACCUUUGAGCACCUGCUCUAUGCUAGAUUCCACCAGACCAAUUCAUAUACAAUAACUCAUUUAAUAUUUUUCAAGAAAUAACUCCCAUCAUCCUUAGUUUGUAGAUGAGGUAAUCAAGGCUGUUUUUUUCUAUUCAGAAUGCAUUUUUAUUCAUUCACAAAUAUUUAUAAAGUAUUAUAACAUGGACUAAAAUUUCUUAACCGAUUGUGUUAAGAAGUCAUUUUUAUCUUGCCUGUUUGGAAAACAGUACAUUUCUCCUAAAAAAAUUCUAAAGGUCGAAACCCAUGACCAAACCCACUGCUGUCGAGUCAAUUCCGACUCACAGCAGCCCUGUAGGAUAGAGCGGAACCGCUCCAUAAAGCCUGUAAAUCUUUACGGAAGCAGACUGCCUGCCACACCUUUCUCAUGGAGUUCACACUGCCUGCCUUUCCGUUAGCAGCUCAGCACUUAACCACUGUGCCACCAGGGCUCCUUUUAGCAGAACAUUCCGAUUAACUGUGACCUACAGUUUAAAUACAACUAAUGACUCUAGAGUGGGCUAAGGCAUUCAUGCAUCUAAUUAUUUUAUAGGAAACCCAAGAAAGACUGAAGCAGAGUUUGAUAGCUGAUGAUCUAGAUUCAUUUUGGAUGUUCAGUCUUCUAAAGAGAUUGGGGAGAGAAGUGACAUGUUUGUACUUGGGGAGCAGUAUUGUAGGCAUGUUACUCAGGAGACAUUGGUACCCCGACAGACUGUGAUGACGAUUAAGGCAGUUGCCCCUCCUGGUGGACAUCCUGGCCCCACCCUCCUGUGUCCACCUGUGCCUGGCAGCACUGGGCCCCUUUUCACGGACGGAGGGCCUCCAGCUCUGGCUGCUGUGUUCCUCCUUCCGAGAGCUUAGGCUGUCUUGUUGCUCCUCAUACUUGGCCUCACUGUCUUCACUCUCAGAGUCUCUGCUUUUAAGGAGCUCUUUCCUUCUCCCCUCUGAUGUUAACUAAAGAGGCUAUGAGGUCAAAACUGUCCAGCCUCUCUGUCCCUUAUAACAGGUGCUUCAUUACAAAGCAACGUCCUCUCCCACCUUCCUCCCAGCACUGCCUGUGGCUUCCAGAGAGAAGGACCACGUCUGUGUUGUACACCGCCGUAGUCAACUUGUAGGACACUGGCUGGCACUUUGUCAGCACUCAGAUGUGUUGAAUUAAUGAAGGAUAACUAAACACAAUCUAACACCUCCACAUCUUACUGACGGCUAAAAUCAGUGCAGCCCUCUAAAGAUAACCUAAAUGGGAAAAUACUUGCCAGCCAUGUUGUAUAUAGACUCUGUGUUCCACUUGGUUUAAUUCACAAUCAUGCUGGACUCUACCAUCUAUGAGAUAGUGGGAAUGUUAUGCUCUGUAUGCGUAGCCUUCCUCAUCUGCAAGUGGGGAUACUAUUACCUACCUCUUAGGAGGUCAUGAGGAUUAAAUACAAAGCCCAAUAUCUUAUACUUAAGAUAGCCAGUUGUAUGUGAAAGGCUUGGAAAAAUAAAGUGUAAAUUAGCCAGCCUGUAUUACAUUCCAUCUGCAUAGCUAUAGUGCUAUGAAUCCGUGCAUUUCUCUCUAUUUCUGGUAUUUAGAAAUGUAAUUCUGUUUUGAUUUUAUUCACAGGAUUUAAAACACAGAAUUGAGUAAUGUGGUUACAUGUUAAUUCCCAUGAAUUAGAGAUAAGAGAUGAAUAUAAUGUAAAGGUCGACAUGGUAAAUAUAAUACUGUUUUAAAUAUCUUAUAUGUACUGAAAGUGUUUUAUUUAAAUUAAAAACAUGGAGAUUAUGCCAUUGUUUCGUAGUUACCUUUCAUUAGAAUUCUCAAAGGUAAGGGUCAGAAACAUACUCUGUACUGCUUUUUUAAAUCAAUAGCUUAUUAUUUUUUUUUCCUUUUAAGUAACGGAUCCAACACUAACAUUUGUUUUGAUGCAACUUUAUGGAAAGGUUGACUGUUUCUUAGUAGAAAAUACAAUGUAAAAUAAGACUUUUCUAGUAAUCCAAUACCUUGAAUUCUUUUGAAACCUGUGGCAUAAUCUUAAGUAGAUAUUUCAAAUAUUAUAUGAAAAUUGAUUCAUUUAAUUUUUACCUAAAGAAUUAAAAAAAAAAUGGCUUUUGGUAUGUUUUUAUGGUUAAGUCAACCCUCUUGGAUAUCAGUGAACAAUGUACGUGUACUGAAGCCUUUCUCCGAUACUGGUUCAUUAGGAAUGCUGAUUUAAGGAGUUAAACAUCUCUCACCUGUCAACACUGAGAUAAUUAUGCAUUAUUAAUUCUCGUGUCAUUUCAAAAAGUGCUAUUUUAAAACUAUUCAUUUUGUCAGUCCUUGGAACUAGGAUCAGGGAGACAGCCUGCUGUAAACCAAUUUAAGAUGUGAUUACAUUGCUUUAUUCCUGCAAUGCAUGAACCGGAAAGUUGGUUUAUCCUGAAUACAGCUUUUGAAAUGUCUCUUACUUCGUUUUAAGAGGUGAAUAUGAUUAUGCAACCUUGGGAGGACAAAAGAGUUGAUGUAGAAGAAAGGAACUUUAAUUCAUUCUGCCAUUUGCAAAAUCCAGGUGGUGGGUGGGGAGGGCUGAGGUGGAAGAUCAGGAAAUGAUAGUUUUCUUUGUCCAUUUUAUCUAAACUGAACUUUUAUGUGUAUCUACUCUCUGCAUAUUAUUAACUGAGAUUUAGGGCUAUUUAAACUUCUUUAGAAUGGCCACCUAUGGAGGAACUAGCAAUAUGAAUUUUUCAAGAUAGAGGAUUUUUGUUGCUUAAUGACUUAAAAUGGCUUUUAAGGAACAGUUUUAAAUAAACCAGAGAAUCAAAUGCAUUUUGGCAGAUAUUUGGAAACACUGAUUUGAACAUUCUGCCAAGUUUGUGGUACUUGAAGUUCACUAAUAUACUGACUUUGUAUAAAUUUUAAUGUAUAAAAUUUUGGUUCUUCAAACUACUUUUACUAAUUUUCUUAACCUUAUAGGACAAUUGUCAAUAUAGCUGUCAACUCUUGUUUCAAAGACACAUCAAAUUAUAAGAGAUAUUUAGUUUUAGGAAGACAUUUUAAUAUGGUUUGAUUUCUAAGCACUUUGUUUAAUAGAAGAUGCAUGAAAGCUGUUUAUAAAUGCAGCUAGUCCCCAAAUGCAGUCAUGAAUUUUUGUUGGUUUUAUUUUGUGGUGUGUGUGUGUAUGUGUGUGUGUGUGUGGAAAUAAAGAAGAAAAGAGGCAGGAAUUUUUCUUUAAAAGCUAUAGUUUUGCUAACCCGAAAGGUCAGUGAUGCUGUUAUAACUGACAUGUUUAAUGUUGAAUCUACUUGUUCAUUGACCUACAAAAAGACAUUCUUGCUUAUUGGCCCAUGACUUUGCAGGCUGUCAUAUUAAAUUUUCUCUAGCCCUAGGUAAACUGGCACAACAGGCAUGCUGAACUUUGUACAUGCGGUUUGUUUUUGUCACAUAUAAAAUAAUUAAUAUUUGACGUAAGCCACUGUUGUGGUAGGGUUAAUUCAAGUGCUGAGCCAUUGAGCCAAACUGUUUGUGGAUGUAACCCCAACUAAAAAAUCAAUUUUAAAUUACUUAGAACUUUCAUUUGUGGUUCUAUCAAGAUUCUGAUAAAUGUCCAUUUCCAUUCUUAAUUCUUACCAAACUGUGUAACAGUUAAAUAAACAUUAUGGUAAGGUAUUUUAUGGAAGUUCCUUAUUGUAUUAUUUCAUUUAGGCAUUGCUUUUCAAGUCAAACUAGUAGCCAUUUUCUUGUUCAUUACAAGUAUAAUUAUACUGGACUUUUAUUUUCUUGACAAUUGUCGGGAAAAGUUCAGCUUUGUUUUGCAUAUUUCGAUUGAUAAGAGUCCUCAGGUUUUCAUGAUCAACAUCACAGACUCUUUUAUUCAUCAAGUUUUUGUUGAUCUCUGAGGAAGCCCACAGCCCAGCCUUUACAAAGCCAAUACAAUUUUAGACACAGAUCCUGCUGUCUAGGAGCUCAUAUUUUAUUUAGGGAAACAAGACGUAUGUACAUAAAACGAUAGAUAGCGAAGCACAUCAUGAGGCAUUUAGCAAAGGAAAACCAGCACAGACUGGAGUGAUUGUUCACUCAUCAAAUAGAUGAGACUUGAAUUGAACCUUGAAGGCUGUAAAUAUUGUUUCAAAGUGGGAGGAACGGGAAGGAUGGGAGUGAAGGGUGUGUGGUUGGUAGGAACAUAUGAGGUUGAAGGAUGGUUAGGGAAUGGGACAUUCUGAAGUAGAGCUUUGUAACAGUAUCAAAUUUGGGUUUCAGAAAGACAGACAGGCCAGAAGGCAGGAAUGGAAAGAUAUUAACAUUUGUUUAAAUGCUUUACUUGAAUUACCUUACUUAAUUCUCAAAAUGUAGUUUGACAUUGUGAUGCGAAUUUUACAGGCAAAGAAACUGAAUCUUAGAGUCUUGCUGAAGGCUAGGAACUAAGAAGUGGGUAGAGAUGAGGUGUGGAUAUUCACAUCUUUGUGUUAUCAAAGUCUGCCAUUUCACCUGGACGCACUACCAGGGCAGAGCAGGGAUGGUCCCACUCUUCGUGCAAAUUGAACAUGCUUGAAACAUAACUCCUUAACUCCGUUUUCUGCUAGCCAAUCCAAUUUUUUCCAACUUUGUUUCUAUCAAUGGCUUCAUCAUUCUUCCAAUCCCUCAAACAUAAGACAUUGGGGUCAUUUUUUACACUUGAAAUCAGCUUUUAUUUCAUAUAUUCUUGAAUGAAACAUAUAAGAAGAGAUGGACAAAGAAGGCAUCAUACAUUAAAACUCUUGUUCUUUGCUGUCUGUCACUCGAUAAAGCCCAUCUCCAGUGUAUUAAGUAUACUAACCAUGCGCCACAACUUGUGUUAUUGUUAGUUGCUGUUGACUUGGCCCCAACUCAUGGCAACCGUCUGUAUAACAGAAUGAAACGUUGCCUGGUCCUGCACCACCUUCAUGAUCUGUGAUGUGUUUGAGCCUAUUGUUGGGGCUGUCAUGUCAAUCUGUCUCAUCGAGAGUCUCCAUUGUCUUCACUGACCCUCUGCUUUACCUCUUUUUUUUUAGCGAUUGGUCUUUCCUAAUGACCUGUCCAAAGUAAGCAAGAUUAAAUCUUGCUAUUCUCUCUUCCAAGGAUGUAACCUAUUCAGGGUUUCAGCAUAAUAUCUAAAGGAGUCAAAAUUCACUUAAUCUUCGCCUUGUAUACUGGGCUAUAUGAAAACGUUGAAGAUUUUUAUUAUUGAAAACUCAAAGUGACACAGAAGUAGAGAAGAGAGUGUAAAGAACUCUUCGUACCAACCAUCCUGAUUUAACAGCUGCCCUCUAAUAGCUGACCACUUCCAUCUGUACCGUCACUUGCUCUCCUCCCACCUCCCCAGCAACUAGACUGUUGGGAAGCAGAUAUUUGCAUUCUGAACUGAAUAAGUAAACUGUGGAAAACAUGAAGCAGUAGAACAUAUUUGAAUACUAGUGAAUAUUUGAUGGGACCGUUAUCCAGAUUAAGAAGUUCCUGGGCGGUGCCAACAGUUAUUAAGCUGCUCAGCCGCUAACCUGAAGGUUGGAAGUUCAAGUCCAGUAAAGGGUGCUUCUGAAGAAAGGCCUGUGAUCCACUUUCCAAAAAAUCAGCCACUAAAAAUCCUAUGGAGCACAGUUCUGCUCGGACACACGUGGGUCACCAUGAGUCGGAAUCAACUUGAUGGCAACUGUUUUGUAUUUUUUUUUAAUCCAGAUUAAUGUUGAAAUAAUUAGUUUCAAGUUAGUCGUUUGAUACUGAUUCCCACUGUGGAGUUGUCACAUGGUGAAAUACUUGUGAAAUAUCACACGAGUCAUUGUUUCAGUGCCACUACCAUGUACAAAUGCCUUCACUAAGACUACACGUUAUAGAGCAUUGAGGCUAAGAAAUUGAUCACGUUGAAGUCAUCAGGUUCCGAGUUAGAAAAGUAGAAAUGGAACCAUGUUGAUAGUCUCCUUUUCUCCACUUACCGUACACCCUGGACCUCACCCUCAUGAACCUUACAUUCUAGGGUCUGACAGUAAUCAGGACUGAAGAAUGAUCACCUUAAUGGUUUUUGUUAGCUGCCAUAGAGUGUUCUCCGAAUAACAGAACAAACUACUACCCAGACCUACACCGUCUUCACGAUCCUUGGUAUGUGUGAGCCCUCCGUUGUGGCUGCUGUGUGAGUCCAUCUCAUUGAGGGUUUCCCUCAUUUUUACUGACCCUCUGCUUUCCCAAACAUAAUAUCUUUUUCUAGUGAUUGGGAUUACCUUGAUUAAGAUGCAUUCAUUUAUACCCUGCUUAUUAGGAGCUGUGAUAAUUCCCUCUAGACUGGGCUGGCACACAGUAGGUUUUCAAUAAGUGCUUUCUGAAGAAUGAAUGAGUGAGUGAGGGUAAGAGUGCAUGAAUGAAUGAAUAAACUUUUGCAUCCAGACUCCCCGGACUAGCAGGCUUUGCAUUUCACUCCUUGUCUCUCCCUUCUCGGCCUGGUUUUAUGUCACGUGCUCCUGUUCCUCUGAGCCUGACUUUGUGCUAGCAUAUUUCAUAAAUGAAUUCAUGGUCACACAUAGGAAGCUUUCAGUUACCAUCCUUCCCAGCUGACAUAUGCAAUUAAAUAUGGGCUUUAGGGAAACAAAGCUUUAACCCAAAGAAGGACUCUUGAUAGGAGACAUUUGACCUGGGCUGAGAGUGGGGUGUGUGUUGCAUAAUACAACUUUUGCAUUUCCUCCAAUCACCCCACAUUUGUGUAUCUGCCAGGUGGUUCCUAGUUAGAUGUGUAUUCAGGUCUAAAAAAAAAAAAAUCCUUCAAAUGGUAAUUGAAUAAGUUAAAUUUGAGGGGGUAGACUGAGCUACAUGACAGUACAGAAGCUUAGUUUCCCUGUGAAUGUGAAAUAUGUCAGUGUGAGGAUGUGCCAAGUGUAACUUGUUGGAAUCACUAGUAAACAUUCUCAAAAUAAAUGCAGUACAGCUAAAACUUACCCUUGAUUCAUUAAAAAGGCUGUUUUAUGCUUAGGUUGUACAAUUUUCUAAGGCGUAUUUUGGUUGCAGAAUUUUCUAUAUGGGCUGACAAAGCACAAUAAAGAUAGAGAAAAUAAAUUACACUAUUGUUACUUAAAGUACAUGCUAAUAUUUUGCAAGAAGCACUUUUUUUUUUUAAUCAUCUCAUUAACACAUAAUGAGCUUCUUUCAGCUGAGGUGUCUAAUUACUGUCAUAUCCAACAGUCUGGUAAUUGGUGAGAAUGAAGCUAAGAGCCACCAUGGACGUCUCUUGACCGCGUUCGCAUUGCACAGAGAUGGUGGAGUCUCAGAAUGGUCGUUAAUUACAUUUGUGGAGCAUCCCUGAUCAUCUAUUUGAAGCUCCUUUGCUUUUCCUUUCAAGCAAACAAUAGACAAACCAUCAGAAACACUCGUAUGGCUCUUUUUAUGCUAGUUAUCUGUAGGUUUGGGGGCUACAGGCUUGAGAUUUCAUCAGUCAUGGUUUACAAAUCUGAAAAACAGAUAAAUUGUAUUUGUAGAUUCAAAACUUGAUGUUCAGAGCUCAAGCACACACCCUCUCCCAUCGAAGGUUAGUUCCUAACCUUUCCUUCAUGAGCUUCCAUUCGAUUUAGACAAGCCCUCCCCUUCUGCUGUUAAACCAGAGGUCAGGCUAAAAAAUGUUAUUAUGUUAUAAAAAUUUAUGUAUACAUUUGUCUUUUAUAUAUUUCAUGUGUAAAUAAAAAUUUAGAGGCAUGCUCUAAAUCUAUUCAGAGUUUUAGGGAUUUUAAUGUUUUAUACACACAUGUAUUAAAGUAUGUAUAAAAACAUAUAUAAAUUAGCAUAUAUGAUAUACACCAUUUUACAGGGGCCGUUAAAAUAUUUUUAAAAGAGACACUAAAAUGGUUUGUAAAGCAGAAUAUGGGCCUUUGCCUGAUUUUUCACUUAGGGGAACAUGAUACAGAAUUUCUUCAACUCAAGUACAGCGGCCACUUUUUCAUUUCCUUGUCUUUAUUGCACUUGUUGAAGGUUUCCUUAGCAGACUCAGAAAUGAAGGCAAGAGCCAUUUCAGCACCGAUCCUAGUCAACCUUCUAUCUUUUUGAGUACAGCAUUGUCAGGUUUACCACUUUCAUCCAUACCAUCUCCUCUAUCACCUCAGUACAGACCCCCAUAAGGUUGGAGCUUACUCUUAAAAUGGUAGGUAUUUAGUUAAGUACCCUACAAAAAUCUGAUCUAUCUGAUAUAUUCUACAUGUUUA
Long non-coding RNA from Loxodonta africana (African savanna elephant), 15242 nucleotides. RefSeq lists it as uncharacterized. NCBI's taxonomy places the organism in Eukaryota, Metazoa, Chordata, Mammalia, Proboscidea, Elephantidae. The record is from RefSeq and is a predicted model, not a curated record. The transcript has 5 exons.